GACCGCGUAGCUCAGCUGGCAGAGCAUUGGGCUAGUAUUCCAAAGGUCGUAGGUUUGAUUCCCACCGUGGCCA
RNAcentral lists this transfer RNA (73 nucleotides) under Paramuricea clavata. It matches the Rfam family "tRNA". From Rfam's summary of the family: Transfer RNA (tRNA) molecules are approximately 80 nucleotides in length. Their secondary structure includes four short double-helical elements and three loops (D, anti-codon, and T loops). The record is from Rfam by way of RNAcentral. Lineage: Eukaryota; Metazoa; Cnidaria; Anthozoa; Malacalcyonacea; Plexauridae.